Molecule: ribosomal RNA, 364 nt
Filed under: uncultured bacterium
Lineage: Bacteria
Description: bacterial SSU rRNA
Rfam family: Bacterial small subunit ribosomal RNA
Source: RNAcentral
AACGAACGCUGGCGGCAGGCCUCAAACAUGCAAGUCUAGGGGGUGCAGCAAUGCAUCACCGGCGGACGGGUGCGUAACGCGUGGGAAUAUACCUAUUGGUUCGGAACAACUGCGGGAAACUGCAGCUAAUACCGAAUGUGCCCUAACGGGGAAAGAUUUAUCGCCAAUGGAUUAGCCCGCGUAGGAUUAGCUAGUUGGUGGGGUAAUGGCUCACCAAGGCUCCGAUCCUUAGCUGUUCUGAGAGGAAGAUCAGCCACACUGGGACUGAGACACGGCCCAGACUCCUACGGGAGGCAGCAGUUGGGAAUCUUGGACAAUGGGGGAAACCCUGAUCCAGCCAUGCCGCGUGAGUGAUGAAGGCCUU